Molecule: ribosomal RNA, 437 nt
Filed under: uncultured bacterium
Lineage: Bacteria
Description: bacterial SSU rRNA
Rfam family: Bacterial small subunit ribosomal RNA
Source: RNAcentral
GGGAGGCAGCAGUGGGGAAUAUUGGACAAUGGGGGAAACCCUGAUCCAGCCAUGCCGCGUGGGUGAUGAAGGCCUUCGGGUUGUAAAGCCCUUUUGGCGGGGACGAUAAUGACGGUACCCGCAGAAUAAGCCCCGGCUAACUUCGUGCCAGCAGCCGCGGUAAUACGAAGGGGGCUAGCGUUGUUCGGAAUUACUGGGCGUAAAGCGCGCGUAGGCGGUUUUCCAAGUCGGGCGUGAAAGCCCCGGGCUCAACCCGGGAAAUGCGCUCGAAACUUGAAGACUGGAGGCCGGAAGAGGGUAGUGGAAUUCCCAGUGUAGAGGUGAAAUUCGUAGAUAUUGGGAAGAACACCAGUGGCGAAGGCGGCUACCUGGUCCGGUUCUGACGCUGAGGCGCGAAAGCGUGGGGAGCAAACAGGAUUAGAUACCCGUGUAGUCCG